UCCGUUCAUUCCUUCUUCCAUUUGAUUGUUCUUGAUGUUUGAAGCUUGCGCUUUUAAGCUUGUCUUUUCCUUUCCAUGGUGGUUGUUGGGUUUGAGUGACUUUAGAUUUCCGUUUCCUCUUUCAUUGCUGUUGUUAUUCAUGGUUUCUUUUGCAUUAUGGUUGGUUGGCUGAUGAAAAUGGAGUUCUAUGUGAGUUUUGGGUUGAAGAGAGCUUAAGGUGUUGUGUGGGUGUUGUGGGUUUGGCUCUUUCCUUCCAUAUUUCGGUUUGGAUGUUUGGAACCAAAGUUUGAUGUGUUAUUGUGGCUGGACAGAGCUGGACUUGAUGGCUAAGAUAUUAUUUUCGUUUUUGCAAAGAAACUUGAAGAAAUGGAAGAUUUGGUUGGGUUGAAUUAGUAGUAGUGUGGGUUUAUUGUUCUUGAAUGGUGUUGCAACUUGAAAUGAGGUUUCUUGGGUGUGUGUUUUCGGUGGGAGGAAGAAGAAAAUGCUGAAUGGUGAUUGUUGGUGUGAGAAAACCGAAAAUGGACAAGGAAGGAAGAGAGAGGAGUGCAAUUAAUUUCUUUGCCAUUUUUGGGCAAACAUAGAAGAUGCUUAUUUUGACUAAAGGAAGGUUUCCUCUUUGAGCUUUCUCCUUGCAUUGUUCCAGCUGUGAAUCACCAUCAGAAUGGAGAGUGUUUGAGUUUUUUUUAUUUGCUUUUACUUUGCUUACAUGGCACCUUGGGUGAAGCAUUCAAAGUAUCUUCCAUUUGCACAUUGGUCUUUAAAGCAACUUUUGUAGAAACUCUUUGCAUAGCUCACGUAAAUUGUGUCUUGUUGUGUGCUUUCAUUUUAUUCUUUGCUGCAUCGUUGGAGAGAGAG
RNAcentral lists this long non-coding RNA (855 nucleotides) under Vigna radiata. Its description in RNAcentral is "long non-coding RNA (VRAD_LNC000890)". The record is from RNAcentral. Lineage: Eukaryota; Viridiplantae; Streptophyta; Magnoliopsida; Fabales; Fabaceae.